UACGGAGGAUGCAAGCGUUAUCCGGAAUUAUUGGGCGUAAAGCGUCCGUAGGUGGCUAAUCAAGUCUGCUGUCAAAGCGUGGAGCUUAACUCCAUACCGGCGGUGGAAACUGAUGAGCUAGAGUGCGAUAGGGGUAGCAGGAAUUCCCAGUGUAGCGGCGAAAUGCGUAGAGAUUGGGAAGAACACCAGCGGCGAAAGCGUGCUACUGGGUCUGCACUGACACUGAGGGACGAAAGCUAGGGGAGCGAAAGGG
This 253-nucleotide ribosomal RNA is filed under the name uncultured bacterium. RNAcentral describes it as "partial 16S ribosomal RNA". It matches the Rfam family "Bacterial small subunit ribosomal RNA", at positions 524 to 776 of the family's 1533-position model. The record is from RNAcentral.